GGAAGUAAAGUCGUAACAAGGUUUCCGUAGGUGAACCUGCGGAAGGAUCAUUAUUGUAUAACCGAGGUGCGAGGGCUGUCGCUGACCCGAAAGGUCGUGCACGCCCGAGUGCCCUCACACACAUCCAUCUCACCCCUAUGUGCACCACCGCGUGGGUCCCCCUUUGGCUUGUUCGGAGGGGGGCUUACGUUUUCACACAAACUUUGUAUGCAGUGUAGAAUGUAUUUUUUGUUUUUGCGAUCACGCAAUCAAUACAACUUUCAACAACGGAUCUCCUGGCUCUC
RNAcentral lists this unclassified non-coding RNA (284 nucleotides) under plant metagenome. RNAcentral's name for it is "partial contains small subunit ribosomal RNA and internal transcribed spacer 1". The stretch from base 1 to 53 matches the Rfam family "Eukaryotic small subunit ribosomal RNA", at positions 1778 to 1831 of the family's 1831-position model. The record is from RNAcentral.